RNAcentral lists this ribosomal RNA (253 nucleotides) under uncultured bacterium. RNAcentral's name for it is "partial 16S ribosomal RNA". It matches the Rfam family "Bacterial small subunit ribosomal RNA", at positions 524 to 776 of the family's 1533-position model. The record is from RNAcentral.
GACAGAGGGUGCAAACGUUGUUCGGAAUUACUGGGCGUAAAGCGAGUGUAGGCGGUCUCCUAAGUCGGGUGUGAAAGCCCCGGGCUCAACCCGGGAAGUGCACUCGAAACUGCAGAGCUAGAGUCCUGGAGAGGAAGGUGGAAUGCUUGGUGUAGAGGUGAAAUUCGUAGAUAUCAAGCGGAACACCGGUGGCGAAGGCGGCCUUCUGGACAGUGACUGACGCUGAGACGCGAAAGCGUGGGGAGCAAACAGG